This is a long non-coding RNA of Saccostrea cuccullata (small rock oyster), 1041 nucleotides long. RefSeq lists it as uncharacterized. The transcript has 3 exons. Lineage: Eukaryota; Metazoa; Mollusca; Bivalvia; Ostreida; Ostreidae. The record is from RefSeq and is a predicted model, not a curated record.
AAAAUAUACAGAUUGGUGCCGUUCUGUUACGUGUAACAACUGCACAAGCGAUGUCACACUCACCCCGAAUGCAGUUCCACGUUGUACUUCAUUGUUUUUCACGUAUAGAGAAGGAAAAGAAUCAACAUAUGUCAGCAGUUAAAAUCCACCUACUCAACUCUAGAUAGCUGUUCCUGUGGAUCCAGAUGAAUGAAAAGAUCUCUGUGUGUUGCAAACAAUAGAAUGGGCUAAGAAUGGUAUUGUUGUGUCAAAGCCUGAAAUCUGCAUGGCACAGUUGUUAGAGCAGCUCUCUAUUUUCUCAAAGUAAAGAGCACUGUAGAACAUGGAGGCCAGUCCUUUGGAUGAGACUGCAUAAACUGAGAUCCCCUGCUGCAGUAGAUGUUGGCUUGAAAAAGAUCCCUCACAGCUCAAUGGUCAUAAGUACCGAGUGUAGGUAAUAAGUUGCAGCCCUCCACCAGCAAGUGGUAGCGUCUUCAUAUGAGUGAAAAAAAUUCUUGAGAGGGACAUAACACAAAGCAAAGGCUGAAGUAUUUGCUUCAGAAAAGACCUACACCUACAGUGAUCAUUAUUUGAACAAAGUAUGUGACAAAAAAAGCUUGCAGUUGAAAGGCAAAGAAAAGAAUUCAUUAUGACAGGAAAGCUAACUUUUAUAGAACACACUGUACAUGUAGAAACUUUUGUCAAGGUUAAAGAAAUAAUUCUGUUUGACAAGAACAAACUUCUCUUUUUUUGUGUUUUAUUUUUAAAUGGUGUCCAAUAUCUCCAUAUGUUGUACAUUCUAAUAUUAAUUACAUUGGAAAUUAGAUCUGUGCCAAAAUAUGUCAUUGUAAUGUUAGUUUUAUUGUGUGGCCUUUUUCUUACCAUGUAAACCUUAGUGCAUAAAGACUAUAAAUUUUUUUUAUUAUUUCAUUUUUAAAAUUUUUUUAAAAAUAUCUAUAUAAACAUGUUACAGCUAAAUUCUAUUAGUGCAAACACGGAAAUAGCAAAUCCAUGGAUAUAGCGAACUUUAUUUUAGAUCCCCAGCUAUAUAAAUUUAAUGAA